GCUUGAUCAUGGCUCAGAUUGAACGCUGGCGGCAGGCCUAACACAUGCAAGNCGAGCGGUAGCACAAGGAGCUUGCUCCUGGGCGACGAGCGGCGGACGGGNGAGUAAUGNUCUGGGAAACUGCCCGAUGGAGGGGGAUAACUACUGGAAACGGUAGCUAAUACCGCAUAACGUCUUCGGACCAAAGUGGGGGACCUUCGGGCCUCACACCAUCGGAUGUGCCCAGAUGGGAUUAGCUAGUAGGUGAGGUAAUGGCUCACCUAGGCGACGAUCCCUAGCUGGUCUGAGAGGAUGACCAGCCACACUGGAACUGAGACACGGUCCAGACUCCUACGGGAGGCAGCAGUGGGGAAUAUUGCACAAUGGGCGCAAGCCUGAUGCAGCCAUGCCGCGUGUGUGAAGAAGGCCUUCGGGUUGUAAAGCACUUUCAGCGAGGAGGAAGGGUUCAGUGUU
RNAcentral lists this ribosomal RNA (453 nucleotides) under uncultured bacterium. RNAcentral describes it as "bacterial SSU rRNA". It matches the Rfam family "Bacterial small subunit ribosomal RNA", at positions 11 to 461 of the family's 1533-position model. The record is from RNAcentral.